This 109-nucleotide ribosomal RNA is filed under the name Aspergillus oryzae. Its description in RNAcentral is "partial 5.8S ribosomal RNA". It matches the Rfam family "5.8S ribosomal RNA", at positions 21 to 129 of the family's 154-position model. Rfam says of the family: 5.8S ribosomal RNA (5.8S rRNA) is a component of the large subunit of the eukaryotic ribosome. It is transcribed by RNA polymerase I as part of the 45S precursor that also contains 18S and 28S rRNA. Functionally, it is thought that 5.8S rRNA may be involved in ribosome translocation. The record is from RNAcentral. Lineage: Eukaryota; Fungi; Ascomycota; Eurotiomycetes; Eurotiales; Aspergillaceae.
UUGGUUCCGGCAUCGAUGAAGAACGCAGCGAAAUGCGAUAACUAGUGUGAAUUGCAGAAUUCCGUGAAUCAUCGAGUCUUUGAACGCACAUUGCGCCCCCUGGUAUUCC